UGGGGAAUAUUGGACAAUGGGCGCAAGCCUGAUCCAGCAAUGCCGCGUGUGUGAAGAAGGCCUUCGGGUUGUAAAGCACUUUUAUCAGGAGCGAAACGCUGUCGGCUAAUACCCGGCGGAACUGACGGUACCUGAGGAAUAAGCACCGGCUAACUUCGUGCCAGCAGCCGCGGUAAUACGAAGGGUGCAAGCGUUAAUCGGAAUUACUGGGCGUAAAGCGUGCGUAGGCGGUUUCUUAAGUCUGCUGUGAAAUCCCCGGGCUCAACCUGGGAAUGGCAGUGGAUACUGGGAGGCUAGAGUGUGUCAGAGGGUGGUGGAAUUCCCGGUGUAGCGGUGAAAUGCGUAGAGAUCGGGAGGAACAUCAGUGGCGAAGGCGGCCACCUGGGACAACACUGACGCUGAGGCACGAAAGCGUGGGGAGCAAACAGGAUUAGAUACCCUGGUAGUCCACGCCCUAAAGCGAUGUAACAUAGUUGUUGGGGGAUUCAUUUCCUUAGUAACGUAGCUAACGCGUGAAGUUGACCGCCUGGGGAGUACGGUCGCAAGAUUAAAAGCUCAAAUGAA
Molecule: ribosomal RNA, 564 nt
Filed under: uncultured bacterium
Lineage: Bacteria
Description: partial 16S ribosomal RNA
Rfam family: Bacterial small subunit ribosomal RNA
Source: RNAcentral